CUUAAAAGUAGCCCAAAAUCCCAAAUCCCAGCCAUAGCCCAAAACGCGAUUCUCUCUCUCUCUUCUCUCAAAAUACGAAUUCUUCCCAUACUGUGCCCUAGAUUCGCAAUUCAGCGAACAAAAGCCCUGAUAGUGUCAAAUUCCAUGUAUUUUUCUUUCCUAGCUUUUCAAUCUCAUCAGUGAAUCGAAGAGCCUCAUACAUUGCACGGCACCUGAGCCUCUGGAUUGAAUUGGGGACAUCAUUAUUGGAGAGGCGCGAAUCGAUUGUCUCUCUCUUCUCUCCAAAGACGAUUUCUGCCCAUACCCAAGCCCUAGAUUCGCGAUUCUCUCCAAAUGCUUCUGCAAAUCCCUAACUUUCCUUCGCAAAGCAGGUAUGCGAUUUAGGAAAAGCUUCUCAACUGCGUUCUCUCUUCAAUUUGUUUGUCGCUCCAACCCACCUGAAUUGGCAACUUUGUUUGUCUGUGGUCUUCAAUUUACAACUUUAUAUAUUUAUUCUUCUACUUCUGUAAGUGGAUUGUCAUCUUGUUAUUUUUCACGUUUAUAAGUGAGUGAUAAAUUAGCUAUUGUUCACUUAUACAAGUAGUGAGUGAUAAAUUAGCUAUUGUUCACUAAUACAAGUGGGUGGUUUGUAAAAUUGUGAAAUUAUAAUUUUCAGAAUAUUGAGUUAUGGAGUGGUAUGAAUUAUUGAGUUAUGGAAUUGAACUAGGGGCAGAAACUGAGCUUGUUAUUAUUUUCAUUUUUGUUAUAAUUGUUAUAAUUGGUAUAAUCGGGUUCAACUUAUGCUUGUUUUCCUAAUAUUUUCAUUGGCUUACAGAACACACUGAAGUACGAAUUCGGAAGAGUUUGGGCUAUUGGAUGCUUGAAAAAUCCACCCCAGUAAGUUUCUUUUUCUUUUCCUAAGCUCUCUAAGUUGAAUUUCUAUUUAGUAAAAUUAAAAAAAAAAAAGGAGAAAACUUUAUUGACUAAAAAUAUUCGUUAGCAGGAGUGUAGUUGGUUGUGAUCAAGGAACCAUAAUUGGAAAAGUUGUCUGUGCUCACAGUUGGGAUUCAGCAAACCUCCCAGUCCAAGAGGCGAAAUACUCGAACGAAUAACUGCUAAUCUGCAGCUGUCAAUUUACUACUAUUAUGUGUUCAAAUGAAUAAUGUUGUAUGAUUAUUACUAUUUUGUAACAAAACUAGAUAGUUUGCUUUGAAUAAAGGAAGAGUUUUUCAUGGUCUAGACUAGAGAUUUCAAGUUCUAUCUUGUUCUGUAUAAUGUAUUUUAUAUAUAACCAAUUUUUUCAUCAGAACAUAAUAGUACCCCAUUUGAUCCAAGGGUUACAACAAGUACUUUGACACCUUUCUUUAGCACAACUGCAAUUGCAGGUUCAAGCAACUGCAAAGGCGAAAAAUAUCUUUGUUUUGUUUUUUGAAAAUAUAGGCCAUAAUUUGUAAUGACCUUUUGUGGAAUGCAGCUAGAGAU
Molecule: long non-coding RNA, 1461 nt
Filed under: Panax ginseng (ginseng)
Lineage: Eukaryota; Viridiplantae; Streptophyta; Magnoliopsida; Apiales; Araliaceae
Description: long non-coding RNA (PGIN_LNC004423)
Source: RNAcentral